Molecule: microRNA, 22 nt
Filed under: Macaca mulatta (Rhesus monkey)
Lineage: Eukaryota; Metazoa; Chordata; Mammalia; Primates; Cercopithecidae
Also listed under: 1 other name
Description: Mml-Mir-430-P25_3p* (star (passenger))
Source: RNAcentral
GAAAGCGCUUCCUUUUAGAGGA